CAACAAAUCUUUUAUAAAAUAUGUAGGCCUUAAAAUUUCCAUUCUAGUCGCACCUUCUAAUCUUCAAAAGCUGCUAUACAACUCCUCAUAUCUUCAAAAGAGUAAUAAUAUGUCUUAAAUUUAUACCUUAAUUUCAAACAGCUAUAUCUUCUUCAUCCUAACUCUAAAUCCUCUAAUUUUUGUACACAAAUUGUAGUCCAAAUCCUAAAUUUUACAACCUAGGCUUUUAAUUUCUAAAUUUUUUCUUUGAAGUUACCAAAAUCCUUGUUAAGGUCGGAGGCAACCUCCUCAAAGCCCAUUGAACAUGGUAUUCAACCAAUAGAGAUGAAGUUCUCUAUUCCUUGCCUUCAUUUAACCAUGCCUUGAUUUCAUCCCUUUUAAUUAGCCUCCUACUAGUUUAUAUUUUCAUCCUUAGGCUUUUACAUUCUUUCAAAGCUUCAUACUAAACAUUUAGGUCCUAUAUUUUUUU
Molecule: long non-coding RNA, 469 nt
Filed under: Physcomitrium patens
Lineage: Eukaryota; Viridiplantae; Streptophyta; Bryopsida; Funariales; Funariaceae
Description: long non-coding RNA (PPAT_LNC003485)
Source: RNAcentral